This 341-nucleotide long non-coding RNA is filed under the name Physcomitrium patens. RNAcentral's name for it is "long non-coding RNA (PPAT_LNC006565)". The record is from RNAcentral. Lineage: Eukaryota; Viridiplantae; Streptophyta; Bryopsida; Funariales; Funariaceae.
UAAAUCUACUAUAGGAAUUAUUUGGAAUUAUUUAGGAUUUGGUUAGGAUAUGUUUGGAACUUGAUUAGGAUUUGAUUAGGAUUUAUUUAAGAUUUGAUAAGGAUUUGGAUAAGAUUUGUUUAGGAUUUGAUUAGGAUUUUAUUAGGAUUUAUUAGGAUUUGACUAGGAUUUGGUUAAGGAUUUGACUAAGAUUUAGUUAAGGAUUUGAUUAAGAUUUGGUUAAGGAUUUGACUAGGAUUUAAUUAAGAUUUUUAUUUUAAUGUUUUAUUAAGAUUUCUAUUUUAGUAUAUUUUUGAAUUUGUAUAUUAUUUCUUUAUGAUUUCUAUAAAAGAUCUUUAGAA